RNA transcript from Lactuca sativa (garden lettuce), 2459 nucleotides. It is a transcript of the gene named Pentatricopeptide repeat (PPR-like) superfamily protein, with no coding region annotated. The record is from RefSeq and is a predicted model, not a curated record. NCBI's taxonomy places the organism in Eukaryota, Viridiplantae, Streptophyta, Magnoliopsida, Asterales, Asteraceae.
UCCCACCACCCAACAGUUCUCAAGAACCUGCGCAAAAUGAACGCUCUCCUCCUCCCUCCACCCUUAUCCACCACCAACCGCUUCCUCCGCCACCGGAACCUCUACCAACCACUGCCACAAUCGCUCUCCUCCUCUACCUUUCACAUAAGCCACUCACAUCUCCGUGCAUCACCCUCCUUUUCCUCUUCCCCUUUCUUAUCCGAAGAUGACACAAUUACACAAGACGCCGUCGUUUCCCUCUACCCCCAUCGCAGGUACGACUUCUCUCCCCUCCUCCAGUUCCUCUCCACCUACAAUUCGGACUCCGAAACAUCCGAUUCCAACUCACCCACGUCACUCGACCAGACCGAGCUACGGCUCGCUGAGUCAUACCGAGUAGUCCCAGGUCCACUAUGGCACUCUCUUCUCAAAUCCCUGACAUCUUCUUCAACAUCCUCUUUCGAAAUCGCAUACGCCCUCGUUACUUGGCUCCAGAAGCAUAAUCUCUGUUUCUCAUAUGAACUGCUCUACUCAAUUUUAAUCCAUGCCCUCGGACGCUCCGAGAAGUUAUACGAAGCUUUUUUGUUAUCUCAGAAACAAACGAUGACUCCCAUUACGUAUAAUGCACUGAUUGGUGCAUGCGCGCGUAACGAUGAGUUGGAGAAAGCCAUCAAUUUGAUGAACAGGAUGCGGCGGGAAGGUUACCAAUCAGAUUUUGUGAAUUACAGCUUAAUUAUUCAGUCUUUAGUUCGUAGUAAUAAAAUCGAUUCAGUGUUGUUAGAAAAAUUGUACGCUGAAAUGAUAUCAGAUGCUAUCGAGCUAGAUGGGCAAUUGUUGAAUGAUAUAGUUUUAGGGUUUGCUAAAUCAGGUGAUGUCGAUAGAGCUAUGUACUUCUUAGGUGUGAUUCAAGGGAAAGGGAUGAACCCAAGAACCUCCACUGUCGUCUCUUUGAUUUUGCAGUUGGGGAAUUUGGGUAGAGCCGAGGAGGCGGAAGCCAUUUUUGAAGAAAUUAAAGAAGGCGGAGUGAUACCCAGAACCAGAGCCUACAAUGCUGUGUUAAAAGGGUAUGUUAAAAAUGGUAGCUUGAAAGAUGCAGAGUCAAUAGUAAGUGAAAUGGAGAAAAAUGGGGUUUCACCUGAUGAUCAUACAUAUAGCCUUUUGAUUGAUGCAUAUGGGAACGUGGGUAGAUGGGAAAGUGCAAGAAUCGUGCUGAAAGAGAUGGAAUCCAACAAUGUAAAGCCAAACUCAUUAGUUUUCAGUAGGAUUUUAGCAAGUUAUCGUGACAGAGGUGAGUGGCAAAAAACAUUUAAAGUAUUAAAAGAGAUGCAGAAAUGUGGAGUAAAGCCAGAUAGACAAUUCUAUAAUGUUAUGAUCGAUACAUUUGGAAAAUACAAUAUCCUUGAUCAUGUAAUGGCAACAGUGGAACGAAUGAAAGUUGAUGGGAUUGAGCCAGAUACUGUAACAAUGAACACACUCAUAGAUUGUUACUGUAAAUCAGGGGAUCACAAGAAAGCAGAGAACCUGUUCGAUGAAAUGCAGCAAAGAGGGUGUUUACCUUGUACAACCACUUAUAACAUAAUGAUCAAUUCUUUUGGGCAACAGGAGAAAUGGGUUGAUGUUAAACACUUGUUGGGGAAGAUGCAGAGUGAAGGUUUAUUGCCAAAUGUUGUUACUUAUACUACACUGAUUGAUGUAUAUGGAAAAUCAGGGAGAUAUACAGAUGCAAUCGAGUGCUUAGAGGUGAUGAAGUCUGCUGGUUUAAAGCCAUCAUUGACUAUGUAUAACGCCUUGAUUAAUGCCUAUGCACAAAGGGGUUUAUCAAAUCAAGCAGCUAAUACGUUUAGGAUCAUGACAAGUGAUGGUUUGAAGCCGAGUAAUUUAGCUCUAAAUGCAUUAAUCAAUGCAUUUGGUGAGGAUAGAAGAGAUGUUGAAGCCUUUGCAGUUUUACAAUACAUGAAGGAAAAUGGUGUGAAACCGGAUGUUGUCACAUACACUACUCUCAUGAAAGCUUUAAUUCGCGUGGAGAAAUUUAGUGAGGUUCCACGUGUAUAUGAGGAAAUGGUAUCAUAUGGGUGCACUCCAGAUGGGAAAGCUAGGGCUACACUAAGGUCUGCUUUGAGGUACAUGAGAAAGACUCUUGAGUCUUGAAUCAUAUAGUACAAACCUUAAACGAGUCAAAAGUACUAGGUCAGCUAACAGAAAAACUGCAGACUCAAUCACAUGUGACACGAGGUAUAUAUAUCGACUUUUAAGGAUGUGAAGCUCAUGGGUCGUUUAAAAUGAUGUGAAGGAGUGAAUUAUAUUGAACACCAUGAUACAUACGAGGUUUGUGUACUUUUGUGUUAUAUUUGCACAUACCAAGGUUUUAGUGUAAUCAUGUAAAUGUACACUAUAAGGAACUUAAAUUAGAUACAAAAAUUGUUUCUAAAUAGUGCAACUUUGGAUUUUGUCACGAGAUAUAACAUUUUUUUACUAAGUUA